Chroicocephalus ridibundus (black-headed gull) is the source of this 4004-nucleotide RNA transcript. It is a transcript of the gene named LYR motif containing 2, with no coding region annotated. The transcript has 5 exons. Lineage: Eukaryota; Metazoa; Chordata; Aves; Charadriiformes; Laridae. The record is from RefSeq and is a predicted model, not a curated record.
CCCCUGACUGAAGUACCUCGGGCCGCCCGCAGCCAGUCACCAGGCACCCGCAGCUCCUGCCGGCCUGAGCUGGGCUCCCCGGGCUGGCGCCGGGCGUAGCUCCCCGGCAGCUCUGGACCACGAGCACGCUUCCUCGCAGCGGGGCCCGCAGGGCUGAGCCAGCGCGGCCGCGACCAGCCUCCCUGCGUGAGGGGGGCGCCUUCCCCCCGACCGACGCGGCUGCCGGGGCAGCGGCCUCUCCCUAGCUGCAGGCGGACCAGAAAAUGGCGGCCGCUGGGCCCCGCCCGCCCGGGGAGGGCUGGACGGUGACGGCGGCGGCGGGAGAGGCGGAGCUGUGCGUCAUGGCCGCCAGCCGCCUCCCGCCCGGCGCCCUCAGCCUGAAGCAGUUCCUGAGGCGGCAGCAAGUCCUUCAGCUCUACAGGAAGAUCCUGCGCGCCAUUCGCGAGGUCCCCGCCGAAGCAGACCGCCACUAUUUAAAGGACUGGGCCAGGGAGGAGUUCAGGAGAAAUAAAGACGCUACAGAAGAGGAUGCAAUCAGGAUGAUGAUUACGCAAGGCAACAUGCAACUUCAGGAACUUCAAAGAACACUUAGACUGGCAAAAUCCUGAUCUUAAUUUUGUUGACAGCUGGACUGUCAUCUACUGUUUAAAAAAAAAAAAAAAAAGUGGGUGUGGGAAUUUCUCAACAGAACAAGCCAGACAACAGUGGACAGAGACCUGGCUGUGCAGCGGCUGUGUGCAGGUUGUGGCCACGUAAUCCAGGAACAGGUCUUGACAUGCAGUGCCCUGGACAGGUGUUGAGCUCCUGUGUGCUGCUGCCCGUGAUCUCCACUGCUUUGGGGGCUUGACAAGGUAAAAUUACCUGCCAGAAGCCUUUAGGAGCCCAAGUACAGUCUGCUAGGGUAAGUUUACUCCCAAGCGUGUGCUGCAGAGAAAGGUAGCUAAUAUGAAGUUCUUCAACUCCAGUAGUUUUGAAGGAGGGAGGACCACAGAGGGUAGCAGAAAGGAAUGGGCAGAAAAUGCCUCCCUUUAUUUUACAGCACACUUGUUGGCUUCAGCAAACCUGUAAAAUCCGUACUCUGCAGCCAAGUUUGAGAGAGACAGGACUAAUUUCUCUUCUAAUGCUUGGGAAAACUGCACUUUUAGAAGACUAGUGUCUGUAUUCAUGAAAAUAUUAUUUACUUUAUAGCCAGCUGGGCCACGUGGGAUUCAAGGUCUCAGUGUUUUCAAGCCUUGCCAGGUGCAGGGCUGAACAAGGAGCAAGACCUGGUCACUUGACCCAGGCUGCCACCAGGGUUAUUUCCUGCCAUGAAUGUCACAUUCGAUAUAAAUUAGGAAGUUUGCUGCCUGGUGCUCUCCCCCUUGAUGGCAGCAGUCCAGAGAAUUUCUUGCCCCAGUGCCAGACCCCUGACCCCCUCCCUUCCUCCCGGAGCCGUAGCAUUCGCAGUGUCCGAGAUUUGCUGUCCCCUGCGGGGAGCGCACAGCUUCCUGCUGAUAGCACUGGCUGAGUAUAAUCCUUGUAUAUUUUAUAUUGGUAUUGGGAUCGAUAUUGGUUCUUUAGUUGGGUGCGGGCAUCAGCUAACAAAUGGCAGCCGGUCCCCACAGCCUCCCUUGGGACAGAGGGUAGACUCGGCUUCCAUGUUUUUACAGCCACAAACACAAAAUCUCACCCGUUGAAGUCCCAAUUUUCUGCUCCCCCUACUGAGUCGGGGGAAGGGAUUGUGUCCACUUCCUCUGGCUAGAAAACACUACACCACAGAUGUCUGAGCAACACUUACUUUAAUUGCUUGGCAAAACAUUCAAUUCGAUCAAGAUGAUACAAAACUUAAAUAGCAUGCUUCUGCAUUCCUACAGUAGCUUAAACAAAACUGUAAACAUAUGAAAGUGUCUAAAUUAGAUUACAGAAGUCAGAGCAAUAAAACUAAUGUUUCCAUAACUGCAGAUACAAGUUUCUUGUCUUGAUAGUGCAUUAAUAGGAACUUUAAAAAUAGUUAUAUAAUACAAUUUUCUUUGCUUUGUACAUCUGCUAAGAAGAUGAAAGCUUAAUUACCAAUUAGUGAAUGGUGUUUUCAAUACUGUAAAGUAUUUUGAAUUGAUUUUAGGGCUCCUCAGUACAGAAAAAGAAUCUCUUUCUCCUCAAUGUAACAGUAUACUAUGCUGUAUUUGAAUUGGUUUUGGACAAUUGUUCUGUCACGAUCUGUUAGGUAAAGUUCCUUUUCUAGGAGAAUCUGAUGGAGCCUUCUCAGAGGCGUAAGGAGGAAACCCUGAAGGGCUGCAGACGCAACGAGUUACGGUGCCUCUAGUUUAUUUCGAGUCUGUCCGCCUGGACAACAUUGGUCAUUGUUAAGUUUUGAUUUUAUAACAAACCGCAUCCAUAAAAUCUGUAAAACGUUGCCGAGUUCUAUUUUGUGGGACUGGUGGUGAAAACAGUCCUGAGACCUGCAGACUCACCAGGGCCCCGCCUCUCCUUUUAGGAGAAAAGAGGGAGAAAACAGAGCAAAGAAUCAUUCAGAGGAGCAAAGGAAGACAGUCUGGACAAAGUGCCUGGGAGAAAACCCUGACAUUUGAAUACAGGGAACCAAGCUUUCACUUCUUUAGAUAAAGGACUUUUUCAAGCUGCUUCAGUAGUAGAGAAAUGCUGCUUGAAGGAAAAGAGAUUUAUAUAAAAAUUAUAUCUACAAUUAGAGCAUGAUUAUGGUAAAAUAUUUGCCAUCCCUGCCCUAAACAAAACUUCUCAGGCAGAUUACUCGAGUAUGGCCCCAGCGACCGUGUAACCACAAGGAGCUUUGCAACCAGGACACGGUUAAAAAAAAAAAGACAAAUCUAAUUUAGCAUUUGUUUUAAUAAUGUAAAACUGAGGGAAAACCAAAGUGGCAACCGCGGCCUCCAUACCUAAUGACUCACCCCAGCACCUCACUCGGCGGGAGCCUGGCCUCUCCCAGCUGGACGCCUGCGUCUGUCACCUGCGUGGGCUUGGAAUCUGAGCUGGUUCUGUAGCUUCUCUCCACUGACUAAAAGAGAGGCCAUAGGGAGUAUCUAAAAUAGUAUCAAUAGCCCUUCAUCGCUAAGGAAUUUCUGUCAAAAGCUCUCAAACAUACUGAAUUUAUUUCAGUAUUGGUAUCGCCAAUUUACGUGCAGCACACAGUGGAACCCUCUAGCCACACAUGGCCUAUGUGGAAAUAAGGAAAUUCCCUUUUCAGAAAGCAGUUUUGGUUUCUAACGCAGUUUGUUCUCAAGCAGCACCUGGAAAUUGAGAGUGCAAUAUUUAACGGACUCUUGGAAAUAACAAAGAAAGGAUCUGAUCUGCAGCAUCUCGUUGUCAUCAGUACAGUCUGCAUAUGAAUUCUCCUCGGUUCCCGAGUUUCCAAAGUUAUUUCUACUCCUGAAAAAGAGCAUUUUGUUUGGAUAUAACAGGCACUACAAAUGUAAUAUAUCUAACAAUAUCCCAGAUUCCUGUACAGCAGGUUCCCAAAUGAGUCCCCUUGCUUGUCUUUACCUGCCUGGCAGGUGCUAGCUCUCUUUCUGCACCUUAGUCCUUAAUUUGCUGAGCUCCUCUUCCAAGCUUUUAAUGUGCUCCUUGAGCGCGGCUUUGUCUUGUUGCGCUUUCUGAUUAGCUUGGCACCGGGCUUCUUCUAUCUUCCGUUCGUACCACUUCUCCAUCUGUGUGGAAACGGCCUCGAAGAAGUACUGUGUUAUCUCCAGGGCCUGGGAGGUGUCUCUGAGCGGAGGGGCAGGCGGCUGUCCCCCCGGCUGUCCCCCUGGCAGGGCGCAGGGCUGCUGCUCCUGGCUCUGCUGUGCCCCUGCGUGGUGCAGAGCUUUAUGCCUCGACUGCCCGCUUUUGCUGGACUUCUUUGUCUGAGUUCCUUUGUCGAUGAAAUAGCCACUCUGUUCAGUCUUCGCAGGUUCAGUCAAGGGCUGCAAAGCAGCCUGAACCUUAACAUGUCUUAAUUUGGAGCCCAAAAGCUCGGAGGAGGGCAGCUCCUGCUGGAACCUGUGGAACGUGCU